GUUAAAAAGCUCGUAGUUGGAUUUCUGCGGGGGCGGGGCGGCCGGUUGCUUAUAGCAACUCGAGCUAGCACUUCCCCUGCAUCCUGCCGCGAACCGUGCUACCAUUAGUUUGGUGGCGCUGGGGAUCGGCUCGUUUACUUUGAGAAAAAUAGAGUGUUCAAAGCAGGCCACACGCCUUGAAUAAGUUAGCAUGGAAUAAUGAUAAAGGACUUCGGUUCUAUUUUGUUGGUGUUCGGGACUGAAGUAAUGAUUGAUAGGGACAGUUGGGGCGGUCCGUAUUCCAAAGCGAGAGGUGAAAUUCUUAGACCUUCGGAAGACGAACAGCUGCGAAAGCGUUCCGCAAGGAUGUUCCCUUUGAUCAAGAACGAAAGUUGGGGGAUCGAAGACGAUCAGAUACCGUCGUAGUCUCAACUAUAAACUAUACCAGCUAGGGAUCGGCCAACGUUUAAUUACACCGACUUGGUCGGCACCUUAUGAGAAAUCAAAGCAUCUGGGUUCCGGGGGGAGUAUGGUCGCAAGGCUGAAACUUAAAGGAAUUGACGGAAGGGCACCACCAGCCGUGGAACCUGCGGCUUAAUUUGACUCAACACCGGAAAA
This 597-nucleotide ribosomal RNA is filed under the name uncultured marine eukaryote. Its description in RNAcentral is "bacterial SSU rRNA". It matches the Rfam family "Eukaryotic small subunit ribosomal RNA", at positions 618 to 1213 of the family's 1831-position model. The record is from RNAcentral.